UCCAACAACGUAUCUUUGUGAAAUAGGCCU
This 30-nucleotide non-coding RNA is filed under the name Rattus norvegicus (Norway rat). Lineage: Eukaryota; Metazoa; Chordata; Mammalia; Rodentia; Muridae. The record is from RNAcentral.